Molecule: non-coding RNA, 170 nt
Filed under: Ctenophora environmental sample
Lineage: Eukaryota; Metazoa; Ctenophora
Source: RNAcentral
AAAAACAUUAAACUUUUGCAAACGAAACGAGAAGGCUUUUUUUAGAAGUUGUUUUGAUUUUUGUUUUGAUUUUUUUUUUUUUGUUUUUUUUUUCUGGUUUGUUUGGAGAGGCUAUGAGGCAGUAAAAAACAAAAGGGGAAAGCGAAGGGGGUUGAAACAGGAAAUAAAAG